UACGGAGGGUGCAAGCGUUAUCCGGAUUCACUGGGUUUAAAGGGUGCGUAGGCGGGGUGGUAAGUCCGUGGUGAAAUCUCCGAGCUUAACUCGGAAACUGCCGUGGAUACUAUCAAUCUUGAAUAUCGUGGAGGUAAGCGGAAUAUGUCAUGUAGCGGUGAAAUGCGCAGAUAUCGGGAAGAACACCCGUGGCGAAGGCGGUUCUCUGGGACGGUACUGACGCUGAGACGCGAAAGCGUGGGGAGCGAACAGG
This 253-nucleotide ribosomal RNA is filed under the name uncultured bacterium. RNAcentral's name for it is "partial 16S ribosomal RNA". It matches the Rfam family "Bacterial small subunit ribosomal RNA", at positions 524 to 776 of the family's 1533-position model. The record is from RNAcentral.